AGCAUGUGGUUUAAUCGAUGAUACGCGAAGAACCUUUACCGGGGUUUGACAUGCAGGUGAUCGCCGUUGAAAGACGGUUUCCUCUUCGGAGGCACCUGCACAGGUGCUGCAUGGCUGUCGUCAGCUCGUGUCGUGAGAUGUUGGGUUAAGUCCCGCAACGAGCGCAACCCUUAUCCCUAGUUGCCAUCAGGUAAAGCUGGGAACUCUGGGGAGACUGCCGGUGAUAAACCGGAGGAAGGCGGGGAUGACGUCAAGUCCUCAUGGCCCUUACAUCCCGGGCUACACACGUGCUACAAUGGCAGGUACAGAGGGCUGCGAAGCCGCGAGGUGGAGCGAAUCCCAGAAAACCUGUCUCAGUCCGGAUUGAAGUCUGCAACUCGACUCCAUGAAGUUGGAAUCGCUAGUAAUCGCAGAUCAGCACGCUGCGGUCGAAUACGUUCCCGGGCCUU
This 449-nucleotide ribosomal RNA is filed under the name uncultured Latescibacterota bacterium. RNAcentral's name for it is "bacterial SSU rRNA". It matches the Rfam family "Bacterial small subunit ribosomal RNA", at positions 936 to 1382 of the family's 1533-position model. Lineage: Bacteria; Pseudomonadati; Candidatus Latescibacterota. The record is from RNAcentral.